UGAACGCUAGCGACAGGCCUAACACAUGCAAGUCGAGGGCAGCACAAGGAGCAAUCUGAGGUGGCGACCGGCGCACGGGUGAGUAACACGUAUGCAACCUGCCUGUAAGCGGGGAAUAACCCGUUGAAAGACGGACUAAUACCGCAUAAUACUGAAUUUACUGCAUGGUAAUUUAUUUAAACAUUUUAUGGCUUACAGAUGGGCAUGCGCAUGAUUAGCUAGUUGGAGAGGUAACGGCUCCCCAAGGCAACGAUCAUUAGGGGUUCUGAGAGGAAGGUCCCCCCACACUGGUACUGAGACACGGACCAGACUCCUACGGGAGGCAGCAGUGAGGAAUAUUGGUCAAUGGACGAGAGUCUGAACCAGCCAAGUCGCGUGCAGGAAGAAUUGUCCUAUGGAUUGUAAACUGCUUUUGCAGGGGAAUAAAGUGCAUCACGUGUGAUGUUUUGUAUGUACUCUGCGAAUAAGGAUCGGCUAACUCCGUGCCAGCCGCCGC
This 496-nucleotide ribosomal RNA is filed under the name uncultured bacterium. RNAcentral describes it as "bacterial SSU rRNA". It matches the Rfam family "Bacterial small subunit ribosomal RNA", at positions 30 to 518 of the family's 1533-position model. The record is from RNAcentral.